GUUGUAGGGAGGUCAUACAGGCACGUGGAGGCCACACACACUACUGAGCCUCAUUUUGACUUGUUUUAAGGACAUUACAUCAAAGUUGGAUCAGCCUGUAGUGUGGUUUUCCACUUUAAUUUUGAGUGUGACUCCAAAUCCAGACCUCCAUGGGUUGAUAAAUUGGAUUUCCAUUGAUUAUUUUUGUGUGAUUUUGUUGUCAGCACAUUCAACUAUGUAAAGAAAAAAAGUAUUUAAUAAGAUUUUUUCAUCAAUUCAGAUCUAGGAUGUGUUAUUUUAGUGUUCCCUUUAUUUUUUUUGAGCAGUAUAUAUAUAUAUCAAAUCAAAUGUAUUUAUAUAGCCCUUCUUACAUCAGCUGAUAUCUCAAAGUGCUGUACAGAAACCCAGCCUAAAACCCCAAACAGCAAGCAAUGCAGGUGUAGAAGCAUGGUGGCUAGGAAAAACUCCCUAGAAAGGCCAAGAAAGGCUUUAUUACUGCCACUUUGAGUGAGUUUGGUACACAUCCGGUGGAUAGAGAGCUGUUUAUUAUGUUCAACAUAGGAGGGCCAAGCACAGGAAGCAGCUCUUUCAGUAGUUUAGUUGGAAUAGGGUCCAGUAUGCAGCUUGAAGGUUUAGAGGCCAUGAUUAUUUUCAUCAUUAUACACAGCUAUAACCUCAAGCAGACACAGAUCUACUGCUCUGAUAAGUAUCUAUGUGUGGGGUGGAGACAGCCUCUAUUUUUACUAAUGCUUUCAGUUGUAAGGACAUUUGGCUUGAUGAUUUUGGGUAUUUUGAGCAUCAUGUUAUACUGUAUAAAUGUCAGCCACCAGACCAGAGCAUCAUGUUAUACUGUUUAAAUGUCAGCCACCAGACCAGAGCAUCAUGUUAUAAUGUUUAAAUGUCAGCCACCAGAGCAUCAUGUUAUACUGUUUAAAUGUCAGCCACCAGACCAGAGCAUCAUGUUAUACUGUUUAAAUGUCAGCCACCAAACCACUGCCCCACUUUCUUUACUGAUUUCUCUGAACAAUUGUCUGUUGUCCUUGAGUACUAUGAUAUAAUCAUUGUGUUGGGUGAUUUUAAUAUUCAUGUUGACAAAGAGACUGACUCCAAAGCCAUUGAAAUUCUGAAUCAUUUUAGAUCUAUGGACAUUAUCCAACAUGUUGCUGGGCCCACCCAUAACCACAGCCAUACUCUGGAC
RNAcentral lists this long non-coding RNA (1177 nucleotides) under Salmo salar (Atlantic salmon). RNAcentral describes it as "lncRNA (ENSSSAG00000087367.1)". The record is from RNAcentral. Lineage: Eukaryota; Metazoa; Chordata; Actinopteri; Salmoniformes; Salmonidae.